This 497-nucleotide ribosomal RNA is filed under the name uncultured bacterium. RNAcentral describes it as "partial 16S ribosomal RNA". It matches the Rfam family "Bacterial small subunit ribosomal RNA", at positions 28 to 507 of the family's 1533-position model. The record is from RNAcentral.
GAUGAACGCUGGCGGCGUGCCUAAUACAUGCAAGUCGAGCGAACAGACGAGGAGCUUGCUCCUCUGACGUUAGCGGCGGACGGGUGAGUAACACGUGGAUAACCUACCUAUAAGACUGGGAUAACUUCGGGAAACCGGAGCUAAUACCGGAUAAUAUAUUGAACCGCAUGGUUCAAUAGUGAAAGACGGUUUUGCUGUCACUUAUAGAUGGAUCCGCGCCGCAUUAGCUAGUUGGUAAGGUAACGGCUUACCACGGCGACGAUGCGUAGCCGACCUGAGAGGGUGAUCGGCCACACUGGAACUGAGACACGGUCCAGAGUACUACGGGAGGCAGCAGUAGGGAAUCUUCCGCAAUGGGCGAAAGCCUGACGGAGCAACGCCGCGUGAGUGAUGAAGGUCUUCGGAUCGUAAAACUCUGUUAUUAGGGAAGAACAAAUGUGUAAGUAACUAUGCACGUCUUGACGGUACCUAAUCAGAAAGCCACGGCUAACUACGUG